Molecule: ribosomal RNA, 468 nt
Filed under: uncultured bacterium
Lineage: Bacteria
Description: partial 16S ribosomal RNA
Rfam family: Bacterial small subunit ribosomal RNA
Source: RNAcentral
GACGAACGCUGGCGGCGUGCUUAACACAUGCAAGUCGAACGGAAAGGCCCUGCUUUUUUCGGGUGCCCGAGUGGCGAACGUGUGUGUAACACGUGAGUAUCCUGCCCUUUACUUUGUGAUAUCUUCAGGAAACUGGUGCUACCACCGAAUAGGAGCUCCUGCUGCAGGGUGGUGUUUGGAACUUUCUGGCGGAGGGGGGUGUACUCGCGGCUUAUCAGCUUGUUGGGGGGGUGGUGGCUUACCAAGCCUUUGGGGGGUAGCCGGCCUGAGAGGGUGACCGGCCACAUUGGGACGGAGAGACGGCCACGGCUCCUACGGGUGGAAGAAGUGGGAAACAUGGCACAGUGGGGGGAAGCGUGAUGAGGAAAUGUUGCGUGCGGGAAGACGGCUUUGGGGGGGGAAACCGCUUUCGCCUGUGACGAAGCGUGAGUGACGGUAAUGGGUAAAGAAGCACCGGCUAACUACGUG